This 489-nucleotide unclassified non-coding RNA is filed under the name Anabaena iyengarii RPAN3. RNAcentral describes it as "partial 16S-23S ribosomal RNA intergenic spacer". The stretch from base 1 to 123 matches the Rfam family "Bacterial small subunit ribosomal RNA", at positions 1411 to 1533 of the family's 1533-position model. The record is from RNAcentral. Lineage: Bacteria; Bacillati; Cyanobacteriota; Cyanophyceae; Nostocales; Nostocaceae.
UUGGUCACGCCCGAAGUCGUUACCCCAACCUUUUGGAGGGGGAUGCCUAAGGUAGGACUGAUGACUGGGGUGAAGUCGUAACAAGGUAGCCGUACCGGAAGGUGUGGCUGGAUCACCUCCUUUUAGGGAGACCUAAUCUAUUUAGAACUUGAAAGCAAUGAAAAUUGCUAAUAGAGCCUAAAUUGGUCUAACCUAGGUCGGUCGCAGACUUGAAGUAAAGCUUUCAAACUAUGAUUUGGUUCGAUAAGGGCUAUUAGCUCAGGUGGUUAGAGCGCACCCCUGAUAAGGGUGAGGUCCCUGGUUCGAGUCCAGGAUGGCCCACCUGAACCAAUUAAAAAUGCAAAAUUAAGAAUUAAAAAUGCAGAAUAUCUUUGUUUUUAAUUUUUAAUUAUCAAUUUUUAAUUGUUUUUGGGGGUUUAGCUCAGUUGGUAGAGCGCCUGCUUUGCAAGCAGGAUGUCAGCGGUUCGAGUCCGCUAACCUCCACAUUUG